GUGGGGAAUAUUGGACAAUGGGCGAAAGCCUGAUCCAGCAAUGCCGCGUGAGUGAUGAAGGCCUUAGGGUUGUAAAGCUCUUUUACCAGGGAUGAUAAUGACAGUACCUGGAGAAUAAGCUCCGGCUAACUCCGUGCCAGCAGCCGCGGUAAUACGGAGGGAGCUAGCGUUGUUCGGAAUUACUGGGCGUAAAGCGCGCGUAGGCGGUUUAUCAAGUCAGGGGUGAAAUCCCGGGGCUCAACCCCGGAACUGCCCUUGAAACUGGUUCACUAGAAUCCUGGAGAGGCGAGUGGAAUUCCGAGUGUAGAGGUGAAAUUCGUAGAUAUUCGGAAGAACACCAGUGGCGAAGGCGACUCGCUGGACAGGUAUUGACGCUGAGGUGCGAAAGCGUGGGGAGCAAACAGGAUUAGAUACCCGGGUAGUCC
This 425-nucleotide ribosomal RNA is filed under the name uncultured bacterium. RNAcentral describes it as "partial 16S ribosomal RNA". It matches the Rfam family "Bacterial small subunit ribosomal RNA", at positions 354 to 796 of the family's 1533-position model. The record is from RNAcentral.